GGUUAAGCGACUAAGCGUACACGGUGGAUGCCCUGGCAGUCAGAGGCGAUGAAGGACGUGCUAAUCUGCGAUAAGCGUCGGUAAGGUGAUAUGAACCGUUAUAACCGGCGAUUUCCGAAUGGGGAAACCCAGUGUGUUUCGACACACUAUCAUUAACUGAAUCCAUAGGUUAAUGAGGCGAACCGGGGGAACUGAAACAUCUAAGUACCCCGAGGAAAAGAAAUCAACCGAGAUUCCCCCAGUAGCGGCGAGCGAACGGGGAGCAGCCCAGAGCCUGAAUCAGUGUGUGUGUUAGUGGAAGCGUCUGGAAAGGCGCGCGAUACAGGGUGACAGCCCCGUACACAAAAAUGCACAUGCUGUGAGCUCGAUGAGUAGGGCGGGACACGUGGUAUCCUGUCUGAAUAUGGGGGGACCAUCCUCCAAGGCUAAAUACUCCUGACUGACCGAUAGUGAACCAGUACCGUGAGGGAAAGGCGAAAAGAACCCCGGCGAGGGGAGUGAAAAAGAACCUGAAACCGUGUACGUACAAGCAGUGGGAGCCUCUUUAUGGGGUGACUGCGUACCUUUUGUAUAAUGGGUCAGCGACUUAUAUUCUGUAGCAAGGUUAACCGAAUAGGGGAGCCGAAGGGAAACCGAGUCUUAACUGGGCGUUAAGUUGCAGGGUAUAGACCCGAAACCCGGUGAUCUAGCCAUGGGCAGGUUGAAGGUUGGGUAACACUAACUGGAGGACCGAACCGACUAAUGUUGAAAAAUUAGCGGAUGACUUGUGGCUGGGGGUGAAAGGCCAAUCAAACCGGGAGAUAGCUGGUUCUCCCCGAAAGCUAUUUAGGUAGCGCCUCGUGAAUUCAUCUCCGGGGGUAGAGCACUGUUUCGGCAAGGGGGUCAUCCCGACUUACCAACCCGAUGCAAACUGCGAAUACCGGAGAAUGUUAUCACGGGAGACACACGGCGGGUGCUAACGUCCGUCGUGAAGAGGGAAACAACCCAGACCGCCAGCUAAGGUCCCAAAGUCAUGGUUAAGUGGGAAACGAUGUGGGAAGGCCCAGACAGCCAGGAUGUUGGCUUAGAAGCAGCCAUCAUUUAAAGAAAGCGUAAUAGCUCACUGGUCGAGUCGGCCUGCGCGGAAGAUGUAACGGGGCUAAACCAUGCACCGAAGCUGCGGCAGCGACGCUUAUGCGUUGUUGGGUAGGGGAGCGUUCUGUAAGCCUGUGAAAGUGUGCUGUGAGGCAUGCUGGAGGUAUCAGAAGUGCGAAUGCUGACAUAAGUAACGAUAAAGCGGGUGAAAAGCCCGCUCGCCGGAAGACCAAGGGUUCCUGUCCAACGUUAAUCGGGGCAGGGUGAGUCGACCCCUAAGGCGAGGCCGAAAGGCGUAGUCGAUGGGAAACAGGUUAAUAUUCCUGUACUUGGUGUUACUGCGAAGGGGGGACGGAGAAGGCUAUGUUGGCCGGGCGACGGUUGUCCCGGUUUAAGCGUGUAGGCUGGUUUUCCAGGCAAAUCCGGAAAAUCAAGGCUGAGGCGUGAUGACGAGGCACUACGGUGCUGAAGCAACAAAUGCCCUGCUUCCAGGAAAAGCCUCUAAGCAUCAGGUAACAUCAAAUCGUACCCCAAACCGACACAGGUGGUCAGGUAGAGAAUACCAAGGCGCUUGAGAGAACUCGGGUGAAGGAACUAGGCAAAAUGGUGCCGUAACUUCGGGAGAAGGCACGCUGAUAUGUAGGUGAAGCGACUUGCUCGUGGAGCUGAAAUCAGUCGAAGAUACCAGCUGGCUGCAACUGUUUAUUAAAAACACAGCACUGUGCAAACACGAAAGUGGACGUAUACGGUGUGACGCCUGCCCGGUGCCGGAAGGUUAAUUGAUGGGGUCAGCGCAAGCGAAGCUCUUGAUCGAAGCCCCGGUAAACGGCGGCCGUAACUAUAACGGUCCUAAGGUAGCGAAAUUCCUUGUCGGGUAAGUUCCGACCUGCACGAAUGGCGUAAUGAUGGCCAGGCUGUCUCCACCCGAGACUCAGUGAAAUUGAACUCGCUGUGAAGAUGCAGUGUACCCGCGGCAAGACGGAAAGACCCCGUGAACCUUUACUAUAGCUUGACACUGAACAUUGAGCCUUGAUGUGUAGGAUAGGUGGGAGGCUUAGAAGUGUGGACGCCAGUCUGCAUGGAGCCGACCUUGAAAUACCACCCUUUAAUGUUUGAUGUUCUAACGUGGACCCGUGAUCCGGGUUGCGGACAGUGUCUGGUGGGUAGUUUGACUGGGGCGGUCUCCUCCUAAAGAGUAACGGAGGAGCACGAAGGUUGGCUAAUCCUGGUCGGACAUCAGGAGGUUAGUGCAAUGGCAUAAGCCAGCUUGACUGCGAGCGUGACGGCGCGAGCAGGUGCGAAAGCAGGUCAUAGUGAUCCGGUGGUUCUGAAUGGAAGGGCCAUCGCUCAACGGAUAAAAGGUACUCCGGGGAUAACAGGCUGAUACCGCCCAAGAGUUCAUAUCGACGGCGGUGUUUGGCACCUCGAUGUCGGCUCAUCACAUCCUGGGGCUGAAGUAGGUCCCAAGGGUAUGGCUGUUCGCCAUUUAAAGUGGUACGCGAGCUGGGUUUAGAACGUCGUGAGACAGUUCGGUCCCUAUCUGCCGUGGGCGCUGGAGAACUGAGGGGGGCUGCUCCUAGUACGAGAGGACCGGAGUGGACGCAUCACUGGUGUUCGGGUUGUCAUGCCAAUGGCACUGCCCGGUAGCUAAAUGCGGAAGAGAUAAGUGCUGAAAGCAUCUAAGCACGAAACUUGCCCCGAGAUGAGUUCUCCCUGACCCUUUAAGGGUCCUGAAGGAACGUUGAAGACGACGACGUUGAUAGGCCGGGUGUGUAAGCGCAGCGAUGCGUUGAGCUAACCGGUACUAAUGAACCGUGAGGCUUAACCUU
This 2903-nucleotide ribosomal RNA is filed under the name Escherichia coli. RNAcentral describes it as "23S ribosomal RNA". It matches the Rfam family "Bacterial large subunit ribosomal RNA". The record is from RNAcentral. Lineage: Bacteria; Pseudomonadati; Pseudomonadota; Gammaproteobacteria; Enterobacterales; Enterobacteriaceae.